GCCCCUGGCCACAGAACGCCGGCAUCCUCGGCACCCAGCGCGCGCCCGGCACCGCCCGGUCCCUCCUCGCGCGUCGCGACUUCCGAGAGACAGCGGAAACACGUGACCUGCCUUUCCCCGCAAGAGGCCUCAGGGAAAGGCAGGAAGAGUGGUUCCCCUACCCAUCAAGAAGGACUGUCAAAACUACAGUGGUGCACCCGUAGGAACACACAUCUUGAAGAACCAUUGUUACUGCACAAGUCAGGGACCAUAGGAUGCACAGAGGCACAUGCCUGGGAGAGACUGAAACCAAUGGGGUAUGAUUCUAAUCCCACAAACUGAGUACUGAAGAGAACAGGGUGUGGCAAACCCAAACCGUGAUGAAAAUGGUCAGAUCCCUCAAAUUGACCUGGUGUUACCCCAGGACAGGGGAAUAGAACCACCAGCGUUAAGAAGGUACAAGAGAACUAAUCAGUGUGUACCACCUGUUAAUCUUAGAGAUGAUUAUGUUAUUGGUUCUAUGCAUUGUUUUAAUUAAUCUUACAAUGUACAGUAUAAAGAAGUUAAAAUAGAAUAUUAAAUAAAUGUUCUUUUGUUAAUUGUUAAUGCUUUUCAUAUAUAAUAUGAUGCUUGUAAGUGUUAUUGUUAAUAUCGGACCUGGAAGUGCUGGUAUGAACAUUCUAGUGGGGGAAGAAUUUUAGCAAGGGGGAAUGUCAGUGGGCUAUUGGACUCUUACUGAAACUUGGUGGGGUUUUUUGGUUGGUGCUCUCCUAACACCAGGAGAAAGGGGAAGGGCUGAAGAGAAGUUAGGAUCCUGAGACUGACACAGCCCCAUGGCCAAUUGGGAGAGGCCAGCACUCCAAGUCAGCCAGAUUCACAGGGGAAGCAGGCAACUGAGGGAGUUGUCAGGGUUCCAUCCCCACUCUGAGCUCUGGGGUACAGAUGUGGGGACCCUUAUGAAAGACCCCCUAAACUUAUUUCUACCAGCUUAGGUUAAAACUUCCCCAAGGCACAAAUCCUUUCCUUGUC
Long non-coding RNA from Chrysemys picta bellii (western painted turtle), 1008 nucleotides. RefSeq lists it as uncharacterized. The record is from RefSeq and is a predicted model, not a curated record. NCBI's taxonomy places the organism in Eukaryota, Metazoa, Chordata, Testudines, Emydidae.